CCUACGGGGGGCAGCAGUGAGGAAUAUUGGUCAAUGGGCGCGAGCCUGAACCAGCCAAGUCGCGUGAAGGAUGACUGCCCUACGGGUUGUAAACUUCUUUUAUAAAGGAGUAAAGUGAGGCACGUGUGCCUUUUUGUACGUACUUUAUGAAUAAGGAUCGGCUAACUCCGUGCCAGCAGCCGCGGUAAUACGGAGGAUCCGAGCGUUAUCCGGAUUUAUUGGGUUUAAAGGGUGCGUAGGUGGGUUGUUAAUGCAGUUGUGAAACCUUGCGGCUCAACCUUAAAAUUGCAAUUGAUACUGGUAGGCUUGAGGACAGGUGAGGCAGGCGGAAUUCGUGGUGUAGCGGUGAAAUGCUUAGAUAGCACGAAGAACACCGAUUGCGAAGGCAGCUUACUGAACUGCAACUGACGUUGAGGCUCGAAAGUGUGGGGAGCAAACAGGAUUAGAUACCCGAGUAGUC
This 460-nucleotide ribosomal RNA is filed under the name uncultured bacterium. Its description in RNAcentral is "partial 16S ribosomal RNA". It matches the Rfam family "Bacterial small subunit ribosomal RNA", at positions 338 to 795 of the family's 1533-position model. The record is from RNAcentral.